This is a long non-coding RNA of Cryptomeria japonica (Japanese cedar), 7170 nucleotides long. RefSeq lists it as uncharacterized. Lineage: Eukaryota; Viridiplantae; Streptophyta; Pinopsida; Cupressales; Cupressaceae. The record is from RefSeq and is a predicted model, not a curated record. The transcript is spliced from 3 exons.
CAUUCUCUGUUUCAACACAGUGAAGGUCUCUUGUAUUCUAUUUUUUUAUGGGAAUUUACAAUAACACAAAUCCUCCUUGAAAACUAUCUUAAUUCUUUUGGCUCGGAUGAGGAUUUUGAUGCCAACAUUUUCCGGGUCAUCAAUUUUUCCGUUUUCAGAAUCAUACAAAUGAAACAAGGAAGUAGCAAAAUGAGAAGGCUAAAUUUCUACAACUGAUCAACAUCCUAUCGUAAAGUUGGAGUCUAUUUAUCCUAAAGUUGCAGGGCAUUAGGCAUAGACAUCAACUUUUUCGCUUGUCAAGAGGAAAGCCUACUUCUCCCGAUUGAUUGAAUGAAGCUAUGGUUGGAAACUUGGACCAUAAUUGCAAAAUUCAGCAAUUACUUGCUAGACUGACAAGACAAUCAACACUGUGAGUAACUUGCAAUAUUACCUGGUGCUGAGUAAUGUGAAAAAUAAACUUGCAGUUAUUCUUAAAAAGUUGUCAGAUUCGUAAUAAAACAUGGUAAAACUUGACUCUGGGUUUAACUUGCUAGAGGCAGAAAAAUGAUUUUUGGGACAAUUUUAACAUGUUACCCAUGACUCAGAAAAUUAUGAUUGUAAGUUCCUUGUUUGAUGCCAACGAAAAUGCUCCUUUAGAAACCCAAUCCUUUGUUUUAGCUUGUUUGAUGCCACUGUAAAUGCCCCUUUAGAAACCCACAAUUUCUCUCAAUUGCUAAGAAAAACAUUUGAAUCCUAAUGCCCACAAUUGUAUAUGCAAAAACACGAUUGUAUUGCCUUGGUUUUCAACACAAAUGUGACCAAGAAGCCAUCCCCCAUGAUUGAAAAUGCUUGCCAAUUUCAAAUUGUGAACCAGUUUCCUUGGAUGUAUUCAUAACAUUACACAUCAACGGUGUUUGGAUCUUGCAAUGUUUAGAUGCAAAUAUGCCACGACUGUUCACACAUGUAUAUGCAAUCAUUAAACAACUAUUCACAAACUGAUAUGCAAUCUUAACAUGGUUGUUCAUGGAUAUGCAAUUUUUAUUGAUAUUGAAACUUAAAAUUCAUAUGCACUGAAAUAUUUUUUGAUCUAUGAUGUGUUUUGAACACUAAUUUUGAUUUAUAUAUAAAGGGAAUUAGGAAUAUGUUUAAUAAAUUCAUUAAUAUGCAUGUUUUGAAGGAUAUUUUAAAAAACUUGUAGUUUCUUAUGUUCGGUAAAUUUGCCAAGUUUAAAUUUUUCAACUAUGAUGUGAACCAAUUCCUAUGCAAUAAAGGAAUUGACAAUUUGUGAAAGGAAGCGAAUGACAAGCAUCCUCAACUUUGAUGCAUUCUUGUCAUGUCAUGUCGACCAUCCAAUAGGGCUGGAUUGAGUUAAUGUAAUUCUAUCUUUGCUUUUGGUUUGCUUAAAGUUGGACAACAAAGAUUGACAAAAAUAAGCCACUAUGUUGAAAGUAAAGCUUCUCUGUUCUAUACAUCUUUUGAAGGGUCUUCAUUAACCUUUCUUUCACCUUUUCAUCAUUAAAAAGAGACACUCUACUAGCCCUUGGUGCAUGCAAUUUGGAAUUUAGAGUAUAAAUUGCCAUAUGAAGUGAGGUGUUCAUAGCGUUCCACCUUUAUGUCACAAUAGACUUAUACAUCUGAUCAAAUCUCAAAUUAGGAUCCUUUCUUUGAAUUACUUGUUUUAUUUGUCUAGGCAUAUUGUCAAGCAUCUUGUAAACUUCUCCAAGAUUAGGAGAGUUUAUAUUAGCAUAUCUAAGGGCCCACACAACAGGUGAGAUGAAGGAGCAAACAUGUUUACAAACAAAAAUUUCAAAAAAGAGUAAGACUCAAAUGAUAGAGUGAAUGGUAAAGUGUAAACAAAAUAUUAAAAUAAUAUACAAGUUAUAAGCAUUAAUAAUUUGAUAAUUUAAUUAUAAAAUAAUAUUUCUCUGUUCUCGUAGUGGACCGCCAAUUAUCAUCAAGGAUCUUUUGCUUCACACUUUUUCCUUAAGCUAUGUUAACAUUUGGCCAUGUAUUCUACUUUGGAUUAGCCAUCACUAGUAAUAGAGGCUCUUUUAUCUCAAGUAUCCUUUGUAACAAAAUAAAAUAGCUAAAAUAUCUAGUCUCCAUGGAUUUGAAGAAUUCCUUAGUUGAAAAAGUCUGCAAAUGAACAUAUGUAUAUCUCUCACUUCUAUCACCACUUUUGUCAUAUCCCCGCCAAUCUAUGAGAUUGCAACCUCUAUAUAUGAGAUCACAGCCUUGCUAAAAAUCAGAUCACAGCACUUAAACUUAAACCUGAGUGGAUGAAAUAAGAGGGCAGCGAUUCAUUUAAGGAGGUCAAUUAAGUUUAAAACUAGGAAUAUCAUUUAACAGUAAUUCUUUAAGAAGUCAAUCAAAGAAUGUAUCAAAGAAUAUCUAGGACAGUGGUUCCCUAGAAUAAAAGGAUAUUUAAGUAAAAGUAAAUUAAGAUUCCAGGCCAGCAAUUAAGAUAAAUGGUUGUGACUCAUUCCAAAGGCAGAAAUGAUGAAGAGGUUCGUCUUCCUCAAAUGUAAAGAUAUAAGAAGGAAGAACAAAUCAUUUGGAGGGGAUCAUCUAACAGUCAAUUCAGAAAUGAAUCCAGCAUAACAAUGAAGGAAGGAUUAGUCAAUCGAGAAUGAUCAAUUCAGAAAUUGAUCCAAAUAUCAAUUCAUUCAACCAUAUACAAAAUCAGAAAUUCAUUCAAGAAUCAAUUCAUUCAAUCAUCACUCACCAAUACAUCAAAUGAUCAAUCAUUAAAUCAUCAAAGGAAACCGAUCAAUCAUGCUAACCUCAAACAUUCAAUAGAAAUCAAUCAAUCAUACAAACCUCAAUCAUUCAUGCAUCAAUUCAUUCAAAAAACAUUUAAUCAUCCACCAUCAAUCCUUCAAGAAACAACAAUAAAGAGAAAUCAAGCAAUUAGCAAUAAUCUAGCAAAUUCCUUGAGAAAUCAGUUUUGAAUUUGUGGGAGUGUCUUGCAAAUAGGAAGAGGACAAAAUCUCUUCCAAGUUCAUGAGAGAUGAAUAGACAGCCCCCCUUUCAUGCUCUUAUCAAGUUGAACAGAAUUUGGAAGGACAGCCUUCCAUGCCCUCGGGCUUAAUCAAGGAGGAUGGCAAGCCUCCAAGCUGUACUGGGAGAUAGAAGGGUUGCCCAACUCUCAUGCUUUUGGCAAGUCAAGGACAACUAGCCUUGAUAAUUGCCAUUUCCGUGCAUUUCCAAGGAAUUCACAAUUUGAUUGGCUGUGAGGAAUAUGCCAUAUGUGUUGAUCUGAAUAUUAUUGAUGCUAUGAUGUAUUGAUUUGAAUAUCAUUUUGAUUUCUUGAUCUUUAAUAUUUAUAAUAUCAGUUUUUAGUGAUUAAUAUUAUUGCAGGCAUAGAAAUUGGGAAUAUCCCCAAUAGGGACAUUACAACUUUCUUCAUCCAAUCUAUUUUCUUCGUGUCUUUUGGGCAUUGUUCAAUGCAUGAACACAAAACAUGGUUCAAAAAUUUUGCUUGUAAGCACCCUGCAACAUUGUGGUAGUUGAUUUACACACAUUGAAUCAAUGACCACCCAAACAAUAUUUGAGGCCCCAACCUUCUCUAUGACCUCCUUCAAAAUUUGAAAUUGGAAGCUUGCACCUCAUAAUUCUCUAAACAAUCAACAGUAGUAAGAAAACAACCAACUGCACAUAUGAUUAUGAUAUUGAUGAGUGACUGAUGUUUAAUAUCGGUUCACCUAUCCGUGAUAAUAGAGUAGCUCAUCCUUAGCCAAGUGUGCUUCAUGUCCUCCAUCACCAAAUUUACCUUAUAAUAUUCUUUAUCAAGAAGGCUUGUGCAUAGUUUAUGCUAUUUAAGGGGGUUGGUAAAUGAUUUUGACCAACAUAAAUUACAUCUUUAAACAUUUGUUUGAAAUAGGGAGAAUGUGUCACAUGAAAUGGGAUAGCAUGGGCAAAGAAAAAUUUGGCAAUCGAAGACUAUCAUUUCCCUUUGAUUUCAUGUCGAACAUCUCUGCAAUUGUCCUAGACUUUUCAUUAGUCUUUGUCUUUCCUCUUGUAGAAACAUCACCAACCUUGGAUGAUAUAACAGAUUCUAUAGGCUCUACUAGCACACCCUUAGAUCUUGUUUUUCUCUCCAUAGACAAUCUAUUUACCUCUGCCUUCUCAACUAUAGUUAUCUUUUGAUAGACCUUAACUCUUUGUCCUAUAAUGUCCAAAAACUGACUAGCUACCUUGUUGUAGUUCCCUCAGAAAUUUUUGUUGCACAAAUGACACAACUGAACUCUAGUCCCUCUUGAAAGUUUAUUUUAUCUUUGUUACAAAUUGCAUAAGAGCUUUAGAGGGUUUCAAUGGGCCCUUUGCUUAAACUCUUAUGGCAUCCAAAAUGUGUUAUGUAACUACCCCACUUCGCUCAUGGCACACCCACACCCUAAUGAACCCCUGACCCCCCUACCACCUUGCACCUCUUAUUUGUUACAUGCCGACACUUUCAUGUCCACUGCUGCUCAUGAUAUUGUUUUGAGAAAAAAGAAUAGUCCAAAAUGCAAACUGAAAGUGAAAAAAAAAAUCACUCUUGAAAGCUGAAAUUGAAAGAUUGAUAUAAAAGAAAACUCAGAAAAUAACAAAACAUAUACUUGCCUCUGCUACUGCUCUUCUUCUCAUCACUAAUGCUGCUGCCCUUAUUUGUAAGGUUCAAGUUCAUUAAUCCAGUGUUCAAUUUUUUUUUUACAUUCAGGUACCUGCUGAGGGUGCUCAUUUUUGUUUUGGUUACAAAUUGUAGUCAAUGGGAAUAAAAUUGAGCUAUUUUAGGGCUAUGAAAAUGGUUUGUGGGUGCCUUAGUAGUCUUAAUAUUUUUUAAUUAUUUGAUCUGAGGAACACAAGUUUUUUUUAUGUUUUCUAAAAUUUUCUGGAUGGGGCCAUCCCUGCUAUUACCUGCUGUUUCCAAAAUGUCCUGGGAAGAGGGAUGCUGGGAAAAGUUCUGGUGAUGUGUACCUGGGGAACAUAGGAUAAAAGAGUAAAAAAGAGUCUUAUCCAUGACUAAAAGCUUAUGAGCUGUGAAUUGUUAUUUUUUAAGAUUUUUACUCUGAAGGCAUGUACCAUUCGCAUAUAGGAGGUCAUACAUCCAUGAUCACAAAAUAAAAGAGCAGCAAAUAUUAUUUAAGAUAUUAUAAAUAUUAUUAAUUCAUUUUAGAUUUUAAGAGCUAGAUGGAAUUUAGAUGAUAGGAUAAUAAAAUAUUACAAUAAGAUUUUGCAUUCCUUGCUGAUGAAGGCAACCCUUUUAGUAUGAAGUAUGAACACCCCAAAAAAACUUGUGGCUAAAAUGGUCACAUGCUUUGUCCUCAUUUUCAUUUGUUUAAUGAUUUAUUCAUUGUUUGAGAAACAUGUAGUAUGUUCCAUGUUAGUGUUGGUUUGCAUGUCUUUUUGCUUAUUGGUCAUCCGUCUUUCCCACUAUUGGCCAUGAAAAACAGACCAGAAUACCAGCAAGUCUAUGGGUUAAGACUUAACAAAUAUCUCAAUCUUUGGUCGGACUCUUGAUGCAUUGCUUAAUUGCACUUGUAACUGUAUCUGGUGAGUUUGCGAGCAUAUAACUUGACACAGUCCCUUUGAUUAUUGUCAGCAAGUCUCAUCAUCAUAUCAUCAAGUUCUUUGAACUGACACCUUCAUGGCAGCUAAAUUUUCUUCUCUGAAUACCUGAAAUAGGACCUGCUCUCUACAUAUUGAUGCUUUAGAUGGCUCGUUUAUUAAUCCUUAAUGUUCAUAAACCUGUUAAUUAUCCAUACAAUGACUUAUCAAUCCCUCAUACCACAUGGAAUCUCUGUUCUUGCUGCUGAAAUCUAUAAAGAUGCAUACAUAAACAACAGAUAAAACAAAGAGACAGCCACCAAAAUGGCAAAACAUGUAGUUUUACACUCUUCAUUAGCAUGAAUUCAAUAGAUGGUAUUAGGACGAGGGUGAGUGUUGAUUGGAUAAGACCAAGCACAACCAAGAAGAAAAAACACAAAGCAAAAAGCUAAUUAUAAAGAUAUCAAAAUAUUUACAAAAAGUCUUUUUCAUCACUUCUUGGUGAAUCCACUAAGUUGAAGCUUUUACUCUACUUAAAAAUGGAAUAAGAGGAUUUGAAUUGAUGAAUUCAAGGGUGAUAUAUUGGUGUCAAGAUGCCUAUCCCUUGAAAGAUGCUGCUCCUCGUGAUAUAUUGGGUUUAGGUAGAUUAGCAUGCAGAUGAAAUAUAAUGCAGAUUACCAUUCAGAUGAAAAAGAUAUGAAAAUGGUGGGAAAACAUGAAAUAUAGAUCUAUACGAUUGGCCAAUCAAACAAUAUUGUUUGAACUUGAACCUAUCUGCCACUUCUACCCUAUUAUUGAUUCGCUACCAUUCUAGCUCUUUUUCACUACUGUCCCUUCUUGACCCUAUUUUUUCUGAUGAACUCAAGCAAAGGAACAGGUGCCCCUUCUCUGCAUUUUGAUGUUGACAACUUGAAGGGCAAAGAGGACAGUUUUCUCUUCUUGCCCUGUUAUUUUCUUUGGACCAGCCAUGACAACCUGGGACCUCCCAUGUGCAUGUUGGGGUGCUCAACCAUCGAGCUAUCACUUAUCUUCAUAGUUACCAGGAGACACGUCUCCUACCCCUGGAGACCCGUACUGGUACUGGAGACGUAUUGGAGAUGCUUCUCCGGUACCAGAUACUUCUCCGGAAACUUCUUGACACAUAAGAUGCUUUUGGAUGUUGUCUCCUGUCGUCUCGUCUCCCGACUAAAAAUUGACGUCUCCUCCUAGAAAACUUAGGGCAAAAUGCAGUAAAAAGACAAAAAAAAAUAAAGCAAACAAAUAAGAUAAGCUUGCAACAAAGCAAAGUCAUAGGGAAAUGACUAAUAAGGAAAAUGUUUCACAGGAAGACAAAAAUCCAUGCAAAGUUAUACUGAUCGGAUUUAUUGAUAGUGUAGACUUUUUGAGAGGACUGAUUUCUUAUCAUUGUAAAUUUGUAAUGGUCUAAAGAGACAUUGCCUUUAUUAUUUAGCCAACAAUAUUGAGUGUGCUCAAUAUCUAUAUUACCUUACUUUCACUAAACAAUUUAGACUGGCUAUCGUAUCAGCAAUAUAAGCAAUUUUAAUUUCAAUUUUUGUUCAAUUUUAAAGUUAAUGUUAAACUUUAAAACUGUUCUUGUUUUCAAAGUUCUCUGUCAUGAUAUGUUUUGGAAAUUAUUAAAUAUCAUUUAUUAAAAAAAUUGGUGUC